RNAcentral lists this non-coding RNA (148 nucleotides) under Nomascus leucogenys (northern white-cheeked gibbon). The record is from Rfam by way of RNAcentral. Lineage: Eukaryota; Metazoa; Chordata; Mammalia; Primates; Hylobatidae.
GCCGGGCGUGGCAGCGCACGCCUGUAGUCCCAGCUACCUGGGAGGCUGAGGCAGGAGAAUUGCUUGAACCCGGGAGGCGGAGGCUGCAGUGAGCCAAGAUCAUGCCACUGCACUCCAGCCUGGGUGACAGAGCGAGACUCCGUCUCAA